AGUUGCUCUUAUUACUUCUACACCAACAGGAAGAUCCAGUGGUUGGCUAUACACAAGUCUGGAGCUCAGAAUGAGUUUACUAGCAGUCUGAAGAUUAGCAAUUGAUGAAGAUCGUGGAAUGGGACUCACGCCAGGUGAUAAAUCUGGAGAAGAAUCUGCAGUCUUCUGUUCAGUGGGAAGAUGACUGCAAUGAAUUAUGAAAUCUGCUAAAACAGGGAAGGAACCUCAGAUACUCCUCCUCUUGUAUCUCAAUAGCUGUUGUUCCUGACAGCAAGAGAGUUCUUUGCAGUACCUCCACCCCUCUACAAGGGAGGCUGCUGGGACUGAAAUCAUUUCCUGCGGACAAAGAAAAUGUGUCCCCCAAAGACACUGAUGGCAAAUUUUCACAUUCCUGAAUAUCUUCUUUUUCCAGAGAACUAUGGAAUGCCAUCUUCCUACAAACAGCUACAGCUGGGAUGACUGGAUGCUGUAAGGUUUAAGAUGCAAAGCUCACAAUGGACAGAGCGCAGUUUCAUUCAAAUGGAACAAUAUCUAACCCUUCUUACCAUCAAUUCAUGCUUCAUUACUG
RNAcentral lists this long non-coding RNA (568 nucleotides) under Gallus gallus (chicken). Lineage: Eukaryota; Metazoa; Chordata; Aves; Galliformes; Phasianidae. The record is from RNAcentral.